GAUCCUGGCUCAGGAUAAACGCUGGCGGCGCACAUAAGACAUGCAAGUCGAACGGAAGUCGUUAUAAAUGGAGUGAAGAUUUAUCUGAAUGAAAUUUGUAACAAUGGCUUUAGUGGCGGACUGGUGAGUAACGCGUAAGGAACCUACCUUUUAGAGGGGAAUAACAAUGAGAAAUCAUUGCUAAUACCGCAUAUGCCAUAGCUAUUGCAUGAUAGUAGUGGGAAAGGAGCAAUUCG
This 236-nucleotide ribosomal RNA is filed under the name uncultured bacterium. RNAcentral describes it as "partial 16S ribosomal RNA". It matches the Rfam family "Bacterial small subunit ribosomal RNA", at positions 15 to 217 of the family's 1533-position model. The record is from RNAcentral.